AUACGGAGGGUGCGAGCGUUACUCGGAGUCACUGGGCGUAAAGCGUCCGUAGGCGGUCGGGUAAGUCGGGUGUGAAAGCCCCGGGCUCAACCUGGGAAGUGCACCCGAUACUGCUCGACUCGAGUGCGGGAGAGGAUGGCGGAAUUCCCGGUGUAGCGGUGAAAUGCGUAGAGAUCGGGAGGAACACCAGUGGCGAAGGCGGCCAUCUGGCCCGCAACUGACGCUGAGGGACGAAAGCGUGGGGAGCAAACAGGAUUAGAUACCCCGGGUAGUCC
This 275-nucleotide ribosomal RNA is filed under the name uncultured bacterium. RNAcentral describes it as "partial 16S ribosomal RNA". It matches the Rfam family "Bacterial small subunit ribosomal RNA", at positions 523 to 796 of the family's 1533-position model. The record is from RNAcentral.